This 770-nucleotide ribosomal RNA is filed under the name Trichiosoma sp. KNS. RNAcentral describes it as "SSU rRNA". It matches the Rfam family "Eukaryotic small subunit ribosomal RNA", at positions 594 to 1323 of the family's 1831-position model. Lineage: Eukaryota; Metazoa; Arthropoda; Insecta; Hymenoptera; Cimbicidae. The record is from RNAcentral.
AUAGCGUAUAUUAAAGUUGUUGCGGUUAAAAAGCUCGUAGUUGAAUCUGUGUGCCACGCUGUCGGUUCACCGCUCGCGGUGUUUAACUGGCAUGAUUGUGGGACGUCCUACCGGUGGGCUUAGCUCCUUCGGGGGCGGCCCAACUAAUAUCCCAUCGCGGUGCUCUUCGCUGAGUGUCGAGGUGGGCCGGUACGUUUACUUUGAACAAAUUAGAGUGCUUAAAGCAGGCUAGUUUCGCCUGAAUACUGUGUGCAUGGAAUAAUGGAAUAGGACCUCGGUUCUAUUUUGUUGGUUUUCAGAACCCCGAGGUAAUGAUUAACAGGGACAGAUGGGGGCAUUCGUAUUGCGACGUUAGAGGUGAAAUUCUUGGAUCGUCGCAAGACGGACAGAAGCGAAAGCAUUUGCCAAAAAUGUUUUCUUUAAUCAAGAACGAAAGUUAGAGGUUCGAAGGCGAUCAGAUACCGCCCUAGUUCUAACCAUAAACGAUGCCAGCUAGCGAUCCGCCGAAGUUCCUCCGAUGACUCGGCGGGCAGCUUCCGGGAAACCAAAGCUUUUGGGUUCCGGGGGAAGUAUGGUUGCAAAGCUGAAACUUAAAGGAAUUGACGGAAGGGCACCACCAGGAGUGGAGCCUGCGGCUUAAUUUGACUCAACACGGGAAACCUCACCAGGCCCGGACACCGGAAGGAUUGACAGAUUGAGAGCUCUUUCUUGAUUCGGUGGGUGGUGGUGCAUGGCCGUUCUUAGUUGGUGGAGCGAUUUGUCUGGUUAAU